GGAGAGAUACCGAAGCGGCUAAACGGGGCAGACUGUAAAUCUGCUGGCUUGCGCCUACGGAGGUUCGAAUCCUCCUCUCUCCACCA
RNAcentral lists this transfer RNA (86 nucleotides) under Deltaproteobacteria bacterium. RNAcentral's name for it is "tRNA-Tyr". It matches the Rfam family "tRNA". Rfam says of the family: Transfer RNA (tRNA) molecules are approximately 80 nucleotides in length. Their secondary structure includes four short double-helical elements and three loops (D, anti-codon, and T loops). The record is from RNAcentral. RNAcentral also lists the same sequence under 1 other name. Lineage: Bacteria; Pseudomonadati; Myxococcota; Myxococcia.